ACUGAGAUAUUCAAACAAGGACUAAGCAAAUAUUCUGAGCUGGAUAAAUAUCUCUAUGAUGGAGAUCACAAAAACAGCUGAUGAAGCAUCAAAGAAAGGCCCCACCAUAAUAGUGGCCUUGGCAACUUUCAAAGGACAUAAGUGUUCUAGCUGCACACAGCUGUCUCAGCACCUGUGGCCAUCUUCACCCUCACAGCAUAUCCUCUCACAGUGCCUGAGAAGCUUUUUGGUUCAGUUUGUGGCUUGAAGCUAAGAUGACAGAUUCCAGGGAAUGAUCCAGACUUUCAGCAGAUGCAACUAGUGAGUAAUAUCUAUUCUAGUGCCUAUCAUGC
RNAcentral lists this long non-coding RNA (332 nucleotides) under Taeniopygia guttata (zebra finch). RNAcentral describes it as "lncRNA (ENSTGUG00000022610.1)". Lineage: Eukaryota; Metazoa; Chordata; Aves; Passeriformes; Estrildidae. The record is from RNAcentral.